CAUGGGCCGAUCGGGACCCGCCUGUUCUGACUCGGUUCUGUCCUCCUCAGGCUGUGGACACAGGCAGCUACAGGUGGAGCAGCUAUGAUGAUGAUGAUCCUGGGUGUGGUCGCACACUAAGUUCAGAGCGAUCGCUACACAAACGGGCCACGCCCGGCGUACGCCCUGAAGGCAGCACAAACCUCCUGCACUGAGCUGAACCGCAGCCACCGGACACAAUGGGCCUCGGCGGCGACCGAUUAUUGAUGGCCUCCCAUUCUCUUUGGCCGGGCAAAGAGGAAACACAGACCCCUGCAAAGAGCGAAACAACAUCGCAGCCCCUGAGGCAGGUGACCAGGUGAAAGACUGCGUGUCUGCGUGUGCGAGGGGGAGAGGCGGCUUCUGAGCCCCUGUUGGAGUUUUGGUAGUUACGCUGACAGAGGCAGAAAGAGGGGGAAGAGGAAAAGCAGGGAAAGGAUUCAUUUUCUCCGGACGCACUGGACCUUAUUUCCUUCUCAUUCUCUUCUCUCUUUCAAUCUCUGUCUCCAUCUCUGCUCUCCCCGAGCUACAAGAACAUGCACACAGAUGUUUCGGGUCUCACGCUCAGCUGUAUUAUCUCGUAAAGCGCCAUUAAUAGACUUUAAUUCAAUUUAAUAGUGCUUCAUUACAGUACACUAUAAAAAGAAGCUGUAGCAAAAGCAUCUCAUUAACCUUAGCCCUAUAAUUAAAAAUAGCAGAAGACUGAAAGAGCAACACACAAAAUAAUAGUAAUAGUAAAAUCAUAUUAUGAACACUAUCAUGACUUUAAAGGGCCAUUAAGGACAUUUAUAAAGUCCUUCAGCCUGUAUGAACGGAGCAAAGUCACGCUAAUACUGUCUGACUGCGAUACAGGAGCACAAUCACCGAUCUCCAUACGUCCAACAUGCAGAGGAAGCGUCGGAGCAGCGAGUCUGUGUGAGCUGGUAGAAAUGUGUGAGACUCAAAGCUGAACCGUCUCUGUUCAGACAUUGUCUUUCUGUUAAUCUUUACAAACACACAAUUAAACAAAUAUCACAACUGAUUUUAAAGAUUUCCAAAGUCCACUCUGUGUCAGCAAACAAACAAAAGGCCUGAAGCAACGUUGUGGAUCGUGGCUCCAUCAUCUCAAUCGCCAGUCUGAGUAACAGGAUGACGAUUCCGUACUGAUACCAAGAAAACGGGCCAGUUUAGGUGUUUGGUGUCAUUUGUUGAAACACGUCC
Betta splendens (Siamese fighting fish) is the source of this 1218-nucleotide long non-coding RNA. NCBI's taxonomy places the organism in Eukaryota, Metazoa, Chordata, Actinopteri, Anabantiformes, Osphronemidae. The record is from Ensembl.